RNAcentral lists this ribosomal RNA (485 nucleotides) under uncultured bacterium. RNAcentral's name for it is "partial 16S ribosomal RNA". It matches the Rfam family "Bacterial small subunit ribosomal RNA", at positions 29 to 523 of the family's 1533-position model. The record is from RNAcentral.
AGUGAACGCUGGCGGCGUGCUUAACACAUGCAAGUCGAACGAGAACGGAAUAUAGCUUGCUAUAUUUGUCAGCUAAGUGGCGCACGGGUGAGUAAUGUAUAGAUAACCUGCCCUUAAGAAAGGAAUAACAGUUGGAAACGACUGCUAAUGCCCUAUAUGCCUUUAAUACAUAAGUAUGCAAGGGAAACGCUUUAGUGCUUAAGGAUGGGUCUGUAUGGUAUCAGCUUGUUGGUGAGGUAAUGGCUCACCAAGGCUAUGACGCCUAACUGGUUUGAGAGGAUGAUCAGUCACACUGGAACUGAGACACGGUCCAGACUCCUACGGGAGGCAGCAGUGGGGAAUAUUGCACAAUGGACGAAGGUCUGAUGCAGCAACGCCGCGUGGAGGAUGACACAUUUCGGUGCGUAAACUCCUUUUAUAUAGGAAGAUAAUGACGGUACUAUAUGAAUAAGCACCGGCUAACUCUGUGCCAGCAGCCGCCGUAA